This 1494-nucleotide long non-coding RNA is filed under the name Cyanistes caeruleus (blue tit). RNAcentral describes it as "lncRNA (ENSCCEG00000007136.1)". The record is from RNAcentral. Lineage: Eukaryota; Metazoa; Chordata; Aves; Passeriformes; Paridae.
GAACCUUGGGUGACUUAGUUUCACUCAGACACUGUGCUCCCUGCUUCCUUCUUGCAUUCAGCAUCCACACUAUUGAGACAAAUGCACAGCUGUGGAAACCUUUCAAAACUUCAUGGAACUCGAUGUUCUGGAAUACUGAAGGUCUUAAAUCUCUAUGGGUGUUCACAGUAAUAGUUCAGAAAUGCUUACAGUGUGAGCUGCAGCCUGCUAGAAUUGGGAACUGGUCUCCUCAUUUGCAAGCCAUUGGGACAGGCUCUUGCUUGGCAAGGCAGCUUGUCAGAGAUCAGGGGUGAUGUCUUUUUUCUGAGGAGAUGCACUUAGGUGGGAAUGGCCCAUAGAAUCUUUUUUGCAUGUUCCAGCCUUUGCAGGAGUGUGUUGUGUAUCCUUGUGUGCUGUCAUUGGUGUGGCAAAAAGCAAGUGCCAUGUUCAUGUCCGUGCCACAGAAAAUGCUAAGGCUUUGUUCUCUCUCAGCGUCAGCAAAAGCGCCCUGGAGAGGCGCUUGGUUCCAGUCCAUCUGAGGAACAAAGCAGACUCAUGCCCUCCAGAGCAGGUGAAAGUCUGCAGACAGCGCCAAGAGACCUCGAGGAAAGAGGUUCACCUGCUUUGGAGCCUGUUUAUGGCGAAGUCACAUAUAGCUCAGAAGACUCUUCUGAAGCUCAGAAGACUCUUCUGAGAUUGAUGUUGUCACUGUCAGUGACGAUGAGUCUGCUCUGCAAAAGCGCCCUGGAGAGGCGCUUCAUUCAGGUCCAGCAGAGAAACAGAGCAGGCUGCUGACCUCCAGAGCAGGUGAAAGUCUGCAGACAGCGCCAAGAGACCUCGAGGAAAGAGGUUCACCUGCUUUGGAGCCUGGUAAGAACAGAAACUGCUGCUGGACGGUUGGAGAUCAUUGGAACAUGUGCUUUUGUCAGUUCCUAGGCCCUUUCCUGGGGAGAAAGGGAACCUUGGGGUUGAGGAAGGUGGGCUUGAUGCCUGCUAUGGCAUCCCUAAACAACAAGCCCACUGACAGCUGUUUUGGUUUCUUACUGAACUCUGCCCAUUGGCCUCUAGUGGGAGAUGAGCUGUGUAGCAAAGGCCCCAGGUGCUGCUCAAACACCUGAAUGUGUGCUCUGACGAGCUGGCAGUGACUGCAGCUGCCACAGUGGAGGUGGCAGGCUGAGUUUGGGAUCUCCCAAGCUAGACAAACAUGAACAAAAGAUAGUAGUCGGUAGCUGUGGCCCAUUCUUCAGGGGAACAUGUACAGCAUGGUAUAGUAAAAUUAGCAUCCCCUCUAGUCUUGGUUGUUUUUUUCUCCUCUGUGCUAAACAUGCCCCUCUGUGAGAGGAAUGAUCUGUUGGGGUGAACAUCUCGUAAGAUGUUGUCAUCCAACAGAACCUGUGAGGAGCUCAGGUGCUCAUCCCCUUGUUUUGCCCCUCCGAGGACAGGGCUGGCAGUGCUCCCUCUGGAUAUUGAAGGCCAAGCUUGAGUGAAAUUGUGGACACAUUCCUGAAGCGUAGG